AUUGAACGCUGGCGGCAUGCUUUACACAUGCAAGUCGAACGGUAACAGGCCGCAAGGUGCUGACGAGUGGCGCACGGGUGAGUAAUGCAUCGGAACGUGCCCAGUCGUGGGGGAUAACUACUCGAAAGAGUAGCUAAUACCGCAUACGAUCUAUGGAUGACAGCGGGGGACCGUAAGGCCUCGCGCGAUUGGAGCGGCCGAUGUCAGAUUAGGUAGUUGGUGGGGUAAAGGCUCACCAAGCCAACGAUCUGUAGCUGGUCUGAGAGGACGACCAGCCACACUGGGACUGAGACACGGCCCAGACUCCUACGGGAGGCAGCAGUGGGGAAUUUUGGACAAUGGGCGCAAGCCUGAUCCAGCAAUGCCGCGUGCAGGAAGAAGGCCUUCGGGUUGUAAACUGCUUUUGUACGGAACGAAACGGCUCUGGUUAAUACCCGGGGCUAAUGACGGUACCGGAAGAAUAAGCACCGGCUAACUACGUG
Molecule: ribosomal RNA, 482 nt
Filed under: uncultured bacterium
Lineage: Bacteria
Description: partial 16S ribosomal RNA
Rfam family: Bacterial small subunit ribosomal RNA
Source: RNAcentral